GAUGAACGCUGGCGGCGUGCCUAAUACAUGCAAGUCGAGCGAACAGACGAGGAGCUUGCUCCUCUGACGUUAGCGGCGGACGGGUGAGUAACACGUGGAUAACCUACCUAUAAGACUGGGAUAACUUCGUGAAACCGGAGCUAAUACCGGAUAAUAUAUUGAACCGCAUGGUUCAAUAGUGAAAGACGGUUUUGCUGUCACUUAUAGAUGGAUCCGCGCCGCAUUAGCUAGUUGGUAUGGUAACGGCUUACCAAGGCAACGAUGCGUAGCCGACCUGAGAGGGUGAUCGGCCACACUGGAACUGAGACACGGUCCAGACUCCUACGGGAGGCAGCAGUAGGGAAUCUUCCGCAAUGGGCGAAAGCCUGACGGAGCAACGCCGCGUGAGUGAUGAAGGUCUUCGGAUCGUAAAACUCUGUUAUUAGGGAAGAACAAAUGUGUAAGUAACUAUGCACGUCUUGACGGUACCUAAUCAGAAAGCCACGGCUAACUACGUG
Molecule: ribosomal RNA, 497 nt
Filed under: uncultured bacterium
Lineage: Bacteria
Description: partial 16S ribosomal RNA
Rfam family: Bacterial small subunit ribosomal RNA
Source: RNAcentral